GGGAGAAGGUGGUGAGUGUGGGGGAGGGGGCUCUGAGUUCACUGAUUGUCCCAUACUAACCCCCACCCUGUCCCCUCUUCCCCCACAGAAGAUGGAGGUAAACAAGAGAGCAGCAGAAGACACCAGGAGGGACUACGAACAAUUUGUGCAGGAGCUGGACCAUGACCACCAGAGUAUGAGGAGCUGUCUGAGGGUGAAGCCGCUGGAGAUGCAGAAACGCCUGGAGGGGAAACGUCAGGAGCUGCUGGAGCACUGCCGGGUGGAGCUGCGGGGCAAGGACCCCCAGAAACAGGAGGCCCUGGAGGAGCUGAAGCAGGAGCUGGACAGGCAGAUGGACAAGUUCCUGCUAGUCUACAAGCAGCGCUUUAAAAAGAUGGAGGUAAACAAGAGAGCAGCAGAAGACACCAGGAGGGACUACGAACAAUUUGUGCAGG
Molecule: long non-coding RNA, 434 nt
Filed under: Gopherus agassizii (Agassiz's desert tortoise)
Lineage: Eukaryota; Metazoa; Chordata; Testudines; Testudinidae
Description: lncRNA (ENSGAGG00000000098.1)
Source: RNAcentral